GACGGUUAGCUGGAUUUCCUUCUGUGCAUCGAAUGAACAAAUCAACAAGGAAUUUUAGAUUUUCCAAUUCAGCCUCAGGCCCUGCCACAUCUGAGCCAGACUGGGUAGCUGCAGGCUCAUUCAUUGAUACUAAUCUUUCCAGUUCAUCAGUUAAUGGUGGUCGUUUGCCCAUCUGAAGAAGGUCAUUGAUGUGGAAUUCAGAUAAGCCAGAGUAUGGAACUUGCAAAGUCAAUAAUUCCAAAAGCAGGCACCCAUAUGACCAAAUAUCCACUCCCAAACCAUAUAGGUUACGUUUAUACAUUGCCUGCAGAACCUCUGGAGCCAUCCAGCGAGGUGUUCCAACACAAACAUCAGGUGGUGGUAUUCCUCUAUGAGCAAUACAACAUGUAUGCAAGAAUGACCUAAGAGGUACAGCUCUGUCAAAAUCACAGAGUUUCACAACAGGCAUUGCAUCAGCUCUCUUACUGUCUAAAUCAAUCAAAAUAUUUUCACUUUUCACAUCGCGAUGAAUUAUGUGUUUCGAGUGCAGCUCUGCCAAUGCACAUGCAACAUCUCGAGCAAUACACAAAGCUAAAUCCACUGGUACAUGCUUCUCGCCAGUUUUUGACAUCUUCUCUAUGUAACUCUUUAAAGAUCCCCCCUUAACACGCUCCAUAAGAAUCAUAGACCGUAAUAUCUGGCGCUGCGGUUUUCCAUCUUCUGAAUGAACCCACUUUGAAGAUAUCUGAUG
This 730-nucleotide unclassified non-coding RNA is filed under the name Hevea brasiliensis (rubber tree). Lineage: Eukaryota; Viridiplantae; Streptophyta; Magnoliopsida; Malpighiales; Euphorbiaceae. The record is from RNAcentral.